This is a long non-coding RNA of Columba livia (rock pigeon), 6317 nucleotides long. RefSeq lists it as uncharacterized. The record is from RefSeq and is a predicted model, not a curated record. NCBI's taxonomy places the organism in Eukaryota, Metazoa, Chordata, Aves, Columbiformes, Columbidae. The transcript is spliced from 2 exons.
GGCCUCGUUUGCAUAACUGCUGCUGCUGCUCCUGCCGCUGCGCCUGCCGCCGCCUCCCCUCCAAUCCCAGCCGCCAUCUUCCGCCUCCUCCCGCCGCGCCGCCGGGAUUGCAGCGCCCAGGCAAGCGAAAAAACAGGUUCAAACCCAAAUGGGAUUAUUCUGUCUACUCUGGGGCUGAAGCACUGUAGAAAGAUGGCCUAAACAACAAAUGAUGGAUAGCUGCACUGAGAAAGAGCAGACCUUUCAAACAGGUAAAAACAACAGAUGGAGCUUAGAAGAUCAACCAUCCCCCUGGCUGCCAACACACCAGCCAGAAGAGCCCUGCAAAGCAACUGAGAAAAAUAUCUCUGGAGGAGGACCGGCUGCCCCACACAGCCAUGGCUUGCAGGAAUGCUGAAAGGAAAUGAAAGACGCACUUAGUGCAGUGAAACGUUACCAUAUAGAGCCGGGCAUCUUAAGAACAUUGGCAACAGAAGCUGGGUCACAUGGAUUUCUUGCCUGUGGAAGAAGGCAAAAGGAAUGAAGUUCGUUAUGAAAUGCAUUGUAAGCAUGUGGUUCAAUGAGUAAAGAAAAGAAUGAUGUUGAAAUGAGACAUCCUACUUGUGACUGUAGACUCUAAGAACCCAGAUCAAAGUAGGCACUGGCUCAAGAUAAGGCAUGAAGUCUGAAAUGGCUGCACAGAAAGGGAGUUCUUCAGUGAAACUUGGACACUUUUGGGAAAGAGAAGACAGCCAACAGAUUCUUCACUAUGAGGGUGGGGAGGCACUGGAACAGGCUGCCCAGAUAAGCUGUGGACGCUCCAUCCCUGGAAGUGUGAAAGGCCAGGCUGGAUGGGGCUUUGAGCAAUCUGGUCUAGUGGAAGGUGUCCCUGCCCACGUAAGAGGACUUGAAACCAGACGAUGCUUGAAGUUCCUUCCAACCCAAACCAUUCUAUGGUUCUGUGAUUCUGUGAAAGAGAAAAUAUUCCAUCUCGAUUUUCCACAUCUUAGUGGAAAAACUACAUCAUUGCAAGAUUAAAUAAAAACAAUUAUAUUAGCUGAAGAGAAUCUAAAGCGCGUCUAUGAAAUUGACUGUGAUUCUGCCUGUGGGAAGAGUUUUGAGAAUAAAUUUUCACUAAUGUCUGGAACAGGCUUAUGAAUUAUAUUCUGCCAUUUGCAGGUACAGAAAGCCAGCUAUGCAAAAGCAUUUGAAAAGGGAGAUGUGACCUAGUUUGUUCUAAUACAAACCAUAGCUGUUCUCUUCUUGUGAAAUCAUGCUUUUUUCCUAGUGUUAGGUAAUUGGGAAAAAGGAUUUUUGCUCUAUCAUUCACAUCAAUGUGCCCUGAAAAACAACUGCCAAGGUGCUGGUUCCUCUGAGUUUUUCUGUCCUCUUGAGGAAGGGUUUUUGGCAACAUCUGUACCAUGACCUGACAAGAUCUAUUAGGCAGCACGCAUGUAGCAGAAUAUAAUUCCGUUCUCCGUUAAACCUCUGACAUUAUGGCAGAAUAGGAAGGAAGUUGCGUCAUGGGACCCAAUGAGAUCAUUAGGUAGCGCAAAGAGCAAUCUGUGAAGGACCGUGAGAAGUGGGUGCAAUUCAGGCCAAUGAGAUGUUUCUCUUCUGGCAUUGUAUUUCCCCAUUGAACACAGCUACCAUAUGGAACCCUUUACAUUUCUGCCUUUGCUACUGGUAACAACCGUGGAUGAAUGUCUCUCACCUGUCAGCAUUUGUUAGUUUGAUCAGUUUACAUGCCCCAGGGGAACUGGCAAGAGAUACUGAUGGGUCAUUCACCCAUCAGCAUUAUCUGCCAGCUAUCCCAGACAUGCUGACGGAUGGAUGGAUGGAUGGAUGGAUGGAUGGAUGGAUGGAUGGAUGGAUGGAUGGAUGGAUGGGUGGAUGGGAGAUACCAGAUGAGAAAUGACAGCUUACUGCUUCGGCAAUGAAAAAAGAUGAGAGCCGGAGAAAGUGGAGACUGAUGGCGGGUUAGGGGAACAGGGAUGGGAACAACAGGGACAAAACCAUUUGAAGCCAUCCUUCCCUGAUUUCCUUUUCCUGUCCUUGCUUUCCUCCAACCCCUAUUUUGUUCUGGUUCUGCACCACUGCAAUCAAGAGGAAUUUUGCAGCAUUAACAGAGCCAGAAUUGAAUCUUUGUCUCUUGCUUUCCAUCUGUUUAAUUUUUGUUUCUUCUCUUUCAGCAUUUCCACACAUUUGUCCAUCGAUCCGCAGUUGCAUAUUUGCUCUAUGCAAAGAGCAUAAAGAAAAUAUCGCUCCUUACUUUAUUCUGGUGGGAGGUUCCAGCUGCUCCCUACCUUCCCAAGGCACAAGACAGAUAAUGUGACUUGACAUGAAGGCAUGCCCAUGUCUUCCCAUCUGUUCUGAGCAGGAGGCUCAAUUGCUCUACUUCAUGACAUGGAAAAAGGGCAGCGAUGCUGUGCACCCGGAGUCGAUGCCUGAAGCCCUGCCAGUAGGGCAGAGUGUUCCACUGACCUCCUUUCUUCACUGAAGGGCAGGGACAAAUAUGCAAGAAUAUGCAUCUUGUCAGCAGCGUCCCCAGCGCAUAUCUUGCUGUGCCUGACUGGUGCACGCUGUCACUGACACGUCUAACUUCAUCUCGUGUCACAGGAGCUGAAGAGGAGGAGCUGGCAGCACAGAUUUCAUAGGAGGCAGAGCAGUGUUUUUCUUUCAGUGUUGAAAGUGUCAAAAAGAAAGACAGUGUGUUUGAUUUUACAGCACCCAAAGUCCGAAAGAUGCUUACAAUGAAGGUUUUCAGUACCAAAUUUAACCCAAGGCAUGUAAGAGUGACCAAAAUUAAGGGGUUUUUUUUGUGUUUCCAAAUUUUUACUAAGCAUUUUUUAAAAUUAAAAUUCACAGAGAAGACAAACCUUUAUUUUCAACCCAAACACUACACAGCAUCAUCCAUUCUGAAAAAAGAAGAGGUAAAAUGAACAAACAAUAUAUACUGAAACCAACAGACAUUUUUAAGGUUAAUAAUCUAAUAUAUUACACUUUCAUUAGGAAAAAGCAUAGGAAGAAAUCAUAGCUCUAACAAAGUAAUUGAUUAACCUUCCACUGAUGUUGGUGAAAAAGAAGAAUGAAUAAUGAUUUGGGUUUUUUUUAAAUAGCAUUUAGAAAGAGGCCUGGACAUUCUAGAAGGGAGAAAUAUUCCUAUUGGAGGGGUGGGAUAAAAUACAACCUUAUAUCUGUGACAGGGCAGAAAUUAGUGUCAUGCUAUGCACAUGAACUUUUAUUGUUCAUUGACUAAAAACAGACAUUUAGCAAGCAGCUAGGGAAGCAAGUCCCUGCCCAUAAUUGUACACUGGGAACCAAAUUUCUGUCUCCCACACAUCACCAGACUUUUCAAGUAACCUGACCAGACAGGUGUGUUGAAUUCACAAGAAAGUACACGAGGGCAGGAUUUUACCCAGCGCUCUCAGCUAGGUUUUCAGGCUGCUUUUCCAUUUCCUUUUUGCUCCAAAUUCAAGCUGGACAUUAGUCAGGCUGGAUGUUUGCCACCUCUGUCUUACCAGAGAUCUGUUUUGACUGUCUCUUAAGCUGUGCUGGAGGCAUGAAAAUCAUCUUCUAUUUCCAGCGUAUUUAUGGCAACACUCUGUGCCCAGAAAGGGGCCGUGGUGACAGAUACUCUUCUGACACUCAGCAAGAAGUAAUUUUAAUUGCCAAUGUUAGGGAUAAAUGCAGAAUAUAUGCACCUAAACAUUAUCCUGCCUGAGAGAUGCUGCUCAGAGCUACAUGAGAUGGCUGACUGUUGCAUAUUUAGAUUCCUGCGCAGUACAUUGCUUUUAACAGGCCCUGCGGUUUAAACUUACCUCAGCUCUGAACAGAGUUGGCUUACAGGCUCUUCCAGUGCUGAAUGGACUGACUUUGUUCUUACAGGCUAAUUUAUCGAUGUUUUAAAUGACCUGUUUGGCUUUACCUGGAUGGGGUCCUAACCCCUGCUAGGACCCUAUCUCUGCCUCCACACCCACCCUGGGUGUCUGAGAGAAGAUCACACGCUGGGAUCAGAGGUGAACAAUUACAGCUAAUGUCCUCGAGGCAGGUGCCGCUACAUCUCCAUCAAGCUGAAAUGUUCCUUGCUGUAGGGGGAAAAAUACAGAAUCAUAGAAUCAAUCAUAUCAAUCAUCUAGGUUGGAAAAGACCUUUGAGUCCAGCCAUAAUAUCAAAUGCAAUUUCACGGAUCAGAUCAGACGUUUGAUCCCUGCCUCUGAUACAAUAUUGCAAUAGUCUUUAAAACUCUUCAUCCUAAUAUUCAGCCCAGUAGAUGAGACUAAGCCAUCUGUGGAAGGAGCUGCUCAAUUUUAAUUACUUUUAACUACAUGACUGUUCACCUUCGCUCCACUGACUGAAGAACAAGGGGCAGGGAGCUCUCUUCCCCAUCUCCUAUCACUUACCAGGAAAAAAUAGUUUAAAAUUACUGUGGAAAUGUUAAUGGUCUUUGCUACCUACAAAUGAAAAGUCAUAUUAAUAGAAAUAAAUGAGCUUAGAUGCAGACUAAGACACCUAUAGACAAGAAACUGAUGAGAAGCAAAAAAGGAGAAAAAAGUAGCAAGAAUAAUUCUUUGUAUUGCUCAGUUACAAUUCCCUACACUCUGGAAGUCUGAUUGAAGAUUUUACUGAAUCCAAAGUGAACCUCUCUGUCAUCUCAGGAGGCAUUUGCUUUAUGGCAGGGAAUUUAACAUCCCUGCAAUCCUAAACUCAGACAUGGGGAGUAGUUCUGUCCUCUGAUAGCUAGUUGGGUGCUAUGCAGCUCAAAUUCCUUAGCUGUCAGGGAAAUAAUGGGUAGAUGGGUUUGUUUACAUUUUUGUUGCUAUUGAUGUUAAUUAUGUGUAUGCCAUCCCUUUUUCACCUCAGGAAACACCCCAGCCCCGACUCAAAUACCUACCUUAAUUUGCUUAUACUGGGGAGAGCCCAGAUUCACAAUCAAGUGAUACCAUAACGAAAACAUAUAGUUGGGACUGUUAUACUUGAAUUAUUUCCUGCAGUGAAAGAGAAGGUAUGGGUGACAUUUUAAAAAGCAUUGUUGAGAAUCCACCAGGAAAAUUCAGUACAGUAUUUAGGGAAGAGGAGUUCAAACUGGAACAGACCCACAAAAGGGUUACUGGGAGGACUGGGGAGUGGUGAACAUUAUCAAACAACAGCAGACUAGAAAAGUUCGGUUUGUUUAGUCUGGCAAAAUGAAGACUGAGGGGAGAUUUGGCUGUUUAUGCUUCCUUUCAGGCCAGUUAAAAGCAUGGUGCUACUCAAGUUCAAGGAAAACACUAGCGCAAGAACAAAUGGGCGUAAACUGUCUUUCAUGCAGCCCUUUUAUUCUGGGCUGCAUUAGGAGGACAGCUGCCAGCAGGUCAAGGGAGGGGAUUCUUCCUCUCUGCUCAGCACUGGUGAGGCCCCAUCUGGAGUGCUGGGUUCAGUUCUGGGCUGCCCAGCAGAAGACAGAGAUGAAUUUACAGGAGUGAGGCCAGUGCAGGGCCACAAAGAUGGUUAAAGGACUAGAGCAUCUCUCCUAUGAAGAAAGGCUGAGAGAGCUGAGGCUGUUCAGCCCAGAGAAGAGAAGGUUCAGGGGAGAUCUUAUCAAUCUGUUUAAAAAACCUGAAGGGAGGGUCCAAAGAAUCUGUAGCCAGGCUCCUUUUCAGUGGUGUCCACUGACAGGACCAGAGGUAACGGGUACAAAUUGGAACACAGGACGUUCUCUCUGAACUUCAGGAAAUACUUUUUGACUGUGAGGGUGACUGAGCACUGGCACAGGUUGCCCAGAGAGGCUGUGGACUCUCCCUCCUUGGAGAUAUUCAAAAGCCAUCAGGACAUGGUCCUGGGCAGCCUGCUCUAAGUGGCCCAGCUUGAGCAGUGGGCUUGGACAAGGAGACCUCCAGAUGUCCCUGCCAACCUCAGCUCUUCUGUGAUUGUGUCUUGGAACACACUCAGGCUGGAAAUAAGUUGACUUCUACCCCUGGAGGAAUGAACAGUCUCCUACACAGAAGACCAGAGGACUAAACCUAGCUAAUUGUAAGAGUGAGCUUGAUUGUAUUAGAAGCCAUGACAGCAGGGAACCUGUCCUGCUGACCCUACCAGACACAGGCUCCUAUAUAGUCUUUAAACAUCAUGGUGAUAAUAGUUUAUGGUAGUGGCAAGGAAAGGAAAAGGAAAGAGUUUUGUACUGUUAAAAAAGUAAGAGCACAAGGUCCCAAAGGAAUUGACAUCACCUACCUCUGCUUAAUAUAACUAUUGAGUUAUGAAAAGGGAUUGAUGUUAAAUUAGUAGAGAUAUAUAAUUUUUUUCCUUGUUUUUUCUUCUCUUUUCCUUCUAUAUAUUAGUAGAAAUCAGAUGCUUCU